AACGUACGCUGGCGGCACGCCUAACACAUGCAAGUCGAACGAAGUAGCAAUACUUAGUGGCAGACGGGUGAGUAACAUGUAGGUAUCUGCCCUUUGGCCUGGAAUAACACGAGGAAACCUGUGCUAAUACCGGAUAAGUCCUAACGGAGAAAGUUUUAAUGCCAAAAGAUGAGCCCGCAUUUGAUUAGCUUGUUGGUGAGGUAAAAGCUCACCAAGGCUAUAAUCAAUAGCUGAUUUGAGAGGAUGAUCAGCCACAUUGGGACUGAGACACGGCCCAAACUCCUACGGGAGGCAGCAGUGGGGAAUCUUGCACAAUGGAGGAAACUCUGAUGCAGCGAUGCCGCGUGAGUGAAGAGGGCCCUUGGGUUGUAAAGCUCUUUCGUCGGGGAAGAAAAUGACUGUACCCGAAUAAGAAGGUCCGACUAACUUCGUG
RNAcentral lists this ribosomal RNA (433 nucleotides) under uncultured bacterium. RNAcentral describes it as "bacterial SSU rRNA". It matches the Rfam family "Bacterial small subunit ribosomal RNA", at positions 29 to 507 of the family's 1533-position model. The record is from RNAcentral.